GCUGAUCCAUUCCAUGCCGCGUGAGUGAAGAAGGCCUUCGGGUUGUAAAGCUCUUUCGGCAGGAACGAAAUGGUUCGUGCUAAUACCACGGACUGAUGACGGUACCUGAAGAAGAAGCACCGGCUAACUACGUGCCAGCAGCCGCGGUAAUACGUAGGGUGCAGGCGUUAAUCGGAAUUACUGGGCGUAAAGCGUGCGCAGGCGGUUUCUUAAGUCAGAUGUGAAAGCCCCGGGCUUAACCUGGGAACUGCGUUUGAAACUGGGAGACUUGAGUGUGGCAGAGGGGGGUGGAAUUCCACGUGUAGCAGUGAAAUGCGUAGAUAUGUGGAGGAACACCGAUGGCGAAGGCAGCCCCCUGGGUUAACACUGACGCUCAUGCACGAAAGCGUGGGGAGCAAACAGGAUUAGAUACCCUGGUAGUCCACGCCCUAAACUAUGUCAACUGGUUGUCGGGGGAUUAACUCCCUUGGUAACGAAGCUAACGCGUGAAGUUGACCGCCUGGGGAGUACGGCCGCAAGGUUACAACUCAAAUGACUUGACGGGGGCCCGCACAAGCGGUGGAGCAUGUGGUUUAAUUCGAUGCCACGCGAAGAACCUUACCUGGUCUUGACAUCCUGCGGACUUUCUA
Molecule: ribosomal RNA, 629 nt
Filed under: uncultured bacterium
Lineage: Bacteria
Description: bacterial SSU rRNA
Rfam family: Bacterial small subunit ribosomal RNA
Source: RNAcentral